AUAUGGUUAAGCUAAUAAGGGCGCACGGAGGAUGCCUAGGCGCCAGGAGCCUAAGAAGGACGCGGCGAACAGCGAAAUUGCCUCGGGGAGCCGUAAGCAGGCUUUGAUCCGGGGAUGUCCGAAUGGGGAAACCCGGCUGGGGUAAUGCCCAGUCACCCAUGAGUGAAUCCAUAGCUCAUGAGGAGGCAUACCCAGGGAACUGAAACAUCUAAGUACCUGGAGGAGAAGAAAACAAGAGUGAUUCCGUCAGUAGCGGCGAGCGAAAGCGGAUUAGCCCAAACCAGGAGGCUUGCCUCCUGGGGUUGUGGGACGUCUCACAUGGAGUUACAAAGGAGCAGGUUAGGCGAAGAGGUCUGGAAAGGCCCGGCAUAGAAGGUAAAAGCCCUGUAGCCGAAAGUCUGCUCCCUCCGAGACGGAUCCCGAGUACCGCGGGACACGAGAAACCCCGUGGGAAUCCGGCAGGACCAUCUGCCAAGGCUAAAUACUCCCUGGCGACCGAUAGUGAAGCAGUACCGUGAGGGAAAGGUGAAAAGCACCGCGGGAGCGGAGUGAAAAAGAACCUGAAACCGUGCGCUUACAAGAAGUCAGAGCCCGAUCUAGGGGUGAUGGCGUGCCUUUUGUAGAAUGAACCGGCGAGUUACGUUUACGUGCGAGGUUAAGUCGGAGAGACGGAGCCGCAGCGAAAGCGAGUCUGAAUAGGGCGCUUUAGUACGUAGGCGUAGACCCGAAACCGUGUGAUCUACCCCUGUGCAGGGUGAAGGUGAGGUAACACUUACUGGAGGCCCGAACUCACAAGCGUUGAAAAGCUUGGGGAUGACGUGGGGGUAGGGGAGAAAUUCCAAUCGAACUCGGAGAUAGCUGGUUCUCCCCGAAAUAGCUUUAGGGCUAGCCUCGAGGUGAAGCAUCGUGGAGGUAGAGCACUGAUUGGGUGCGGGGCCCGCCAAGGGUUACCAAGUCCAGUCAAACUCCGAAUGCCAUGUAUGUAUACUCGGGAGUCAGACGGCGAGUGCUAAGAUCCGUCGUCAAGAGGGAAAGAGCCCAGAUCAUCAGCUAAGGUCCCCAAGUGUGUGUUAAGUGGGAAAGGAUGUGGAGUUGCGAAGACAACCAGGAUGUUGGCUUAGAAGCAGCCACCAUUUAAAGAGUGCGUAAUAGCUCACUGGUCGAGUGACUCUGCGCCGAAAAUGUAACGGGGCUAAACACACCACCGAAGCUAUGGCAUGNNCUUGGGUAGGGGAGCGUUGAAUGCGGGUAGAAGUCUGACCGAGAGGACAGGUGGACUGCAUUCAAGUGAGAAUGCCGGUAUGAGUAACGAAAAGACAGGUGAGAAUCCUGUCCGCCGAAAGCCUAAGGGUUCCUGAGGAAGGUUCGUCCGCUCAGGGUAAGUCGGGACCUAAGGCGAGGCCGAAAGGCGUAGUCGAAGGACAACAGGUUGAAAUUCCUGUACCACCGUAAGCCGUUACGAGCAAUGGGGGGACGCAGGAGGGCAAAGACGCGAGCUGAUGGAAUAGCUCGUCCAAGCAGUGAGGGGUGCAUGUAGGCAAAUCCGCAUGCUAAUACCUUGAGCUGUGAUGGGGAGGGAAAAUUACAGUACCGAAGGUCUCGUGCUCACGCUGCCAAGAAAAGCCUCUAGCCAGGCGAAGGUGCCCGUACCGUAAACCGACACAGGUAGGCGAGAUGAGAAUUCUAAGGCGCGCGGAAGAACUCUCGUUAAGGAACUCGGCAAAAUGACCCCGUAACUUCGGGAGAAGGGGUGCCUCGGUAGGGUGAAUAGCCCGAGGGGGCCGCAGUGAAUAGGCCCAAGCGACUGUUUAGCAAAAACACAGGUCUGUGCGAAGCCGUAAGGCGAAGUAUACGGGCUGACGCCUGCCCGGUGCUGGAAGGUUAAGGGGAGCGGUUAGGGGCAACCCGAAGCUGUGAACCGAAGCCCCAGUAAACGGCGGCCGUAACUAUAACGGUCCUAAGGUAGCGAAAUUCCUUGUCAGGUAAAUUCUGACCCGCACGAAUGGCGUAACGACUUGGGCGCUGUCUCAACGAGAGAUCCGGUGAAAUUUUAGUACCUGUGAAGAUGCAGGUUACCCGCGACGUGACGGAAAGACCCCAUGGAGCUUUACUGUAGCUUGAUAUUGAACUUUGGUACGGUCUGUACAGGAUAGGUGGGAGCCUUUGAAGUUGGAGCGCAAGCUUCAAUGGAGGCGCCGUUGGGAUACCACCCUGAUCGUAUCGGAGUUCUAACCUGUCACCGUGAAUCCGGUGAAGGGACCGUGUCAGGCGGACAGUUUGACUGGGGCGGUCGCCUCCUAAAGCGUAACGGAGGCGCCCCAAGGUUCCCUCAGAAUGGUUGGAAAUCAUUCGAAGAGUGCAAAGGCAUAAGGGAGCUUGACUGCGAGACCUACAAGUCGAGCAGGGACGAAAGUCGGGCUUAGUGAUCCGGUGGUACCGAAUGGAAGGGCCAUCGCUCAACGGAUAAAAGCUACCCUGGGGAUAACAGGCUUAUCUCCCCCAAGAGUCCACAUCGACGGGGAGGUUUGGCACCUCGAUGUCGGCUCAUCGCAUCCUGGGGCUGAAGUAGGUCCCAAGGGUUGGGCUGUUCGCCCAUUAAAGCGGUACGCGAGCUGGGUUCAGAACGUCGUGAGACAGUUCGGUCCCUAUCUGUCGCGGGCGUAGGAAAUUUGAGAGGGGCUGUCCUUAGUACGAGAGGACCGGGAUGGACGCACCGCUGGUGUACCAGUUGUUCCGCCAGGAGCAUCGCUGGGUAGCCAAGUGCGGGAGGGAUAAGCGCUGAAAGCAUCUAAGCGCGAAGCCCGCCUCAAGAUGAGAUUUCCCAAUUCGUAAGACCCCUGGAAGAACACCAGGUUGAUAGGCUCGGGGUGUAAGCACAGCAAUGUGUGUAGCUGACGAGUACUAAUCGGUCGAGGGCUUAUCCUA
Molecule: ribosomal RNA, 2925 nt
Filed under: Cohnella nanjingensis
Lineage: Bacteria; Bacillati; Bacillota; Bacilli; Caryophanales; Paenibacillaceae
Description: 23S ribosomal RNA
Rfam family: Bacterial large subunit ribosomal RNA
Source: RNAcentral